UUGGCUCAAGAGUGUUUACCCUAGCGGUUAGGGCUCUAUUCUCCUCACGCGUAGCGGCUAACUCAGUUUGGACAGCCGUUGAUUGAUUUUGUAAUUGUGCUAACUGUCGGGUGAUAGCUUCAAUGUGGGGAGGGUCCAUGGCAACGGUACUAGAGCUAGAGGCAGUAACGCGACCACUACGCAAUUGAUUACACGGUAACACAAGUUAGGUGAAGUGUCUACUGAGAUCAACAACCAACGAGUGCUAGCAGGGAAAAUAGUGAC
This 264-nucleotide long non-coding RNA is filed under the name Olea europaea (common olive). RNAcentral's name for it is "long non-coding RNA (OEUR_LNC009303)". The record is from RNAcentral. Lineage: Eukaryota; Viridiplantae; Streptophyta; Magnoliopsida; Lamiales; Oleaceae.